Non-coding RNA from Myodes glareolus (Bank vole), 651 nucleotides. The record is from the annotation of a RefSeq genome assembly. NCBI's taxonomy places the organism in Eukaryota, Metazoa, Chordata, Mammalia, Rodentia, Cricetidae.
GUGCUGCUUUGUGGUUUGAGGCCUCACAUCCUCCCAUCAGACACAGAUUCUGAGCUCAGAAGCAUAGAACAUCUACUUGUUCUUAAUUAUGAGGUGCAUGAGUGGAAUUCCCAUUCUCCUAACUUUGGGUAUUGUGGGUGAUGCUAAGACCACACAGCCAGAUUCAAUGGAAACGAUUGAAGAAGAAACUGUACACUUGCCUUGUAGCCACUCCACCAUCAGUGGGAACGAGUACAUUUACUGGUACCGACAGGUUCCUCUUCGCGGUCCAGAAUAUGUGAUUCAUGGUUUACAACAAAACACAAGCAAUGGAAUGGCCUUUCUGGCUAUUCCCUCUGACAGAAAGUCAAGUACCUUGAUCCUGCCUCGGGUCAGCCUGAGCGAUGCUGCUGUGUAUCACUGUAUCCUGAGAGAAGCACACUGUGACAGACAGGGCUGCACCUGUGCAAUAUCUGCCUGGUGAGGGAGGGGAGCAGUGGCGCCUUCUAAAGAGGUCUCUGUGAUGGAAUGAGAAGAAGCCCUACAGGUGAAAGGGAAGACUGAGGAACCCAGCAGGGAUGGGAAAGGAAUGCUGAGCCUGGGCAAGAACAGCUGACAGCAGAUAGACAGACAUGCCUGCAGGGCAGCUGAUAGCACAACUUCCAGUUCCAC